Molecule: long non-coding RNA, 622 nt
Organism: Portunus trituberculatus (swimming crab)
Lineage: Eukaryota; Metazoa; Arthropoda; Malacostraca; Decapoda; Portunidae
Exons: 3
Source: RefSeq, a predicted model, not a curated record
GGGAUGAUUGUGUACAUGAAUCGAACGUGAAAGAGAACCAGUCUGUUACCAGAUUGGCACCAUUCCAAGCACACGAAUCCAUAGGACGGCAGAUUACCCUAAAAUUACCCUAGUUUAUGCAUUACCCUAAACACUACCCUAAGAAGGGUUCAAUUACCCUAGUUUAGGGUAUUUUACCCUAAAAUGGAAGCACUGGCGACUAGUCAAUGGACGUCGUUGCCUGCUGGACGUUUUCCGUACGGUCGUGCUUUACCUGAGAGUGGGAAAGGAGCCACUUAAUGUCACUUCAUUAUUCUCCAUGGAUGCUUGCUUACUGAUGGCAUUCUCCUGAGUCUCUUGUGUGAGUCUGUGCACUUCACGAGAGGACUUGUGCAGGUCUUCCACCACCCCAGCCAGCACCUGCUCCACUGCUUCCUUGUACUCCACCUGACAGACAGAACAAGGCUGUCAUUGAAAACUUUUACUCUCCAUUACAAGUUAGAUGCCCUUGUCAGGGAAGUACUGCUUCCAGACAAGGUGGUCGCCCUGCACCUCAAACACCUCAACAUUGUCGUCCUCGCUGGCCACCGCCUCACACAGCUGCCCCAAGUAUUCCUCCGCUGACUUGCCCAGUUUGACACGC